GACGAACGCUGGCGGCGUGCUUAACACAUGCAAGUCGAACGGAAAGGCCCUGCUUUUGUGGGGUGCUCGAGUGGCGAACGGGUGAGUAACACGUGAGUAACCUGCCCUUGACUUUGGGAUAACUUCAGGAAACUGGGGCUAAUAUCGGAUAGGAGCUCCUGCAGCAUGGUGGGGGUUGGAAAGUUUCGGCGGUUGGGGAUGGACUCGCGGCUUAUCAGCUUGUUGGUGGGGUAGUGGCUUACCAAGGCUUUGACGGGUAGCCGGCCUGAGAGGGUGACCGGCCACAUUGGGACUGAGAUACGGCCCAGACUCCUACGGGAGGCAGCAGUGGGGAAUAUUGCACAAUGGGCGGAAGCCUGAUGCAGCAACGCCGCGUGCGGGAUGACGGCCUUCGGGUUGUAAACCGCUUUCGCCUGUGACGAAGCGUGAGUGACGGUAAUGGGUAAAGAAGCACCGGCUAACUACGUG
RNAcentral lists this ribosomal RNA (468 nucleotides) under uncultured bacterium. RNAcentral describes it as "partial 16S ribosomal RNA". It matches the Rfam family "Bacterial small subunit ribosomal RNA", at positions 28 to 507 of the family's 1533-position model. The record is from RNAcentral.